AACCAGCCCAUACGAAGUGAUGAAUAUACCGUAGCUCAUGCCUCGUAGAGAGAAGAAACCAGUUCUUCCGUCUUCGCCUCUUCCCCAGUUGGCAGUUCCCCUAAACGGCUAAACCAGUUCUUCGCCUCUUCCAACAUCUAGUAUUGUAAUCUCCAUCUGAAUGUCAAGAUCUCUAUUUUCAUUCAGACAAAAGGAGAGAUAGCAUCAUGGCAGCUAAAGUGGAAAGCAUGAAAUCCAUUAUUUGGAGUUGAAUCAAGAAAGGUGUACUGAAUCUUGUUAGUGGAAUUGUUGGAUUGCACAUUGUGUCUUGGCACUUUAUAGGAGCAAAAAGCUUGGAAAGAGUGAUUUUGUUGCAUUCCAGUAUGCUUAGGUAUCUCAAAAGAAAAUCACCUCCUCCACAAAGAGGUGAUAUUUCUUCUUCUACCAAGCAAAAAUGCCCGGAAAUCAACUUAGAGGAUCUUCCUUCAGAUCCUGGACUACGACCUCGAAUUUUGGAUUAUCAUCCUAACAAUCGAGAUCAAGUCCGUAGAGCAUAUUUGCAAAGGGGUCCUUGCCAACCUCUUAACCAUGAUUUUCCACUGACAAAAUCUGGACAACAACAAAGACGAUUUAACCAGGCUUGGUUUACUGAAUUCCCUACCUGGUUGGAGUAUAGUGUAUCUAAAGAUGUUGCAUAUUGUCUAUGUUGUUAUCUUUUCAAACAAGAUAUUGGACGUCAAGCUGGUGGUGAUCAUUUUGUGGGUGAAGGCUUUUCAAAUUGGAAGAGUUAUAAAAAAUUAGCUCUUCAUGUGGGAGGUCCCAAUAGUGCACAUAAUAAGGCUUGGGGGAAAUGUCAAGAUUUGAUGAAUCAAAAGCAACAUAUUGAGACCAUUGUUUGUAGGCAAUCAGAUCAAGCUCGAGCUGAAUAUAGACUACGCUUGAAUACUACAAUUGAGGUUGCUCGAUAUCUUUCAGUACAAGGAUUGGCAUUCCGUGGUCAUGAUGAAAGUGAAAGUUCAUCUAAUCCAGGGAAUUUUAUUUAACUUUUGAGGGCCUUUGGCAAAAUUAAUGAAGAUGUCAAAGCAUCAACUUUUGAAAAUGCUCCACAGAAUCAAAAGUUGACAGCUCCAAAUAUUCAGAAGGAUAUUGUAAAUGCAUUUGCAAUGGAAACUUUAAAAAACAUUAUUGGUGAUC
This is a long non-coding RNA of Tripterygium wilfordii, 1173 nucleotides long. RefSeq lists it as uncharacterized. The record is from RefSeq and is a predicted model, not a curated record. The transcript is spliced from 4 exons. NCBI's taxonomy places the organism in Eukaryota, Viridiplantae, Streptophyta, Magnoliopsida, Celastrales, Celastraceae.